GCGGAUAUGACUUAGAGGUUAAAGUCGCAGAUUGUGGCUCCGAAAACACGGGUUCGAAUCCCGUUAUUCGCC
Molecule: transfer RNA, 72 nt
Filed under: Haplomitrium hookeri
Lineage: Eukaryota; Viridiplantae; Streptophyta; Haplomitriopsida; Calobryales; Haplomitriaceae
Description: tRNA-His
Rfam family: tRNA
About the family: Transfer RNA (tRNA) molecules are approximately 80 nucleotides in length. Their secondary structure includes four short double-helical elements and three loops (D, anti-codon, and T loops). Further hydrogen bonds mediate the characteristic L-shaped molecular structure. tRNAs have two regions of fundamental functional importance: the anti-codon, which is responsible for specific mRNA codon recognition, and the 3' end, to which the tRNAs corresponding amino acid is attached (by aminoacyl-tRNA synthetases). tRNAs cope with the degeneracy of the genetic code in two manners: having more than one tRNA (with a specific anti-codon) for a particular amino acid; and 'wobble' base-pairing, i.e. permitting non-standard base-pairing at the 3rd anti-codon position.
Source: RNAcentral